Small nuclear RNA from Portunus trituberculatus (swimming crab), 145 nucleotides. RefSeq annotates it as U4 spliceosomal RNA. Lineage: Eukaryota; Metazoa; Arthropoda; Malacostraca; Decapoda; Portunidae. The transcript has a single exon. The record is from RefSeq and is a predicted model, not a curated record.
AUCUCAAUAGUGGCAAUGGCAGUAUCGUAACCAAUGAGGUUUAUCCAAGGUGCGAUUAUUGCUCUUUGAAAACUUUUCUCAAUACUCCGCCUGGACGACUUGAAAUAAAGUCGGCCAAGGCAAUUUCUGUAAGCAAAAAUAUUCU